CAAAGGUAGCGUAAUCACUUGUCUCCUAAAUAGAGACCAGCAUGAAAGGCCACAUGAGAAAGAAACUGUCUCUUGAAGAUACCCUAUGAAACUGAUCUGCCUGUGCAAAAGCAGACAUAAAACAACAAGACAAAAAGACCCUGUGAAACUUUAAAUUUUACGCCAAUCAAAUGGCGAAAUUUUUAGGUUGGGGCAACCAAAGAGAAACAAAACCUCUUAAAAAUAUCAGACAAACAAGUCAAAUUAAUAAACAUCGACCCAGUAAAACUGAUCAAUGGACCAAGCUACUCCAGGGAUAACAGCGCUAAAUUCUUGAAGAGUCCACAUCAACAAGAAUACUUACGACCUCGAUGUUGGAUCAGGAUAACCCAACAGUGCAAAAGCCGUUAAAGGUUCGUUUGUUCAACGAUUAAUAUCCU
RNAcentral lists this ribosomal RNA (419 nucleotides) under Agama doriae. RNAcentral's name for it is "partial 16S ribosomal RNA". It matches the Rfam family "Bacterial large subunit ribosomal RNA", at positions 1951 to 2597 of the family's 2925-position model. Lineage: Eukaryota; Metazoa; Chordata; Lepidosauria; Squamata; Agamidae. The record is from RNAcentral.